This 264-nucleotide ribosomal RNA is filed under the name uncultured bacterium. Its description in RNAcentral is "partial 16S ribosomal RNA". It matches the Rfam family "Bacterial small subunit ribosomal RNA", at positions 793 to 1055 of the family's 1533-position model. The record is from RNAcentral.
GUCCACGCUGUAAACGAUGGGCACUAGAUGCUGCGGGUAUUGACCCCUGCGGUGUCGUAGUUAACGCGUUAAGUGCCCCGCCUGGGGAGUACGGUCGCAAGAUUAAAACUCAAAGGAAUUGACGGGGCCCGCACAAGCGGUGGAGCAUGUGGUUUAAUUCGACGCAACGCGAAGAACCUUACCUGGGUUAGACAACAGUGGACAUCCUCAGAGAUGAGGCUUUCCCUUCGGGGACCGCUGGUUCAGGUGCUGCAUGGCUGUCGU